GCGAGCUUGGCGGAAUGGUAGACGCACGAGACUUAAAAUCUCGAGUCCGUAAGGACGUGCGGGUUCGAGUCCCGCAGCUCGCACCA
Molecule: transfer RNA, 86 nt
Filed under: Gluconobacter oxydans
Lineage: Bacteria; Pseudomonadati; Pseudomonadota; Alphaproteobacteria; Acetobacterales; Acetobacteraceae
Also listed under: 3 other names
Description: tRNA-Leu
Rfam family: tRNA
About the family: Transfer RNA (tRNA) molecules are approximately 80 nucleotides in length. Their secondary structure includes four short double-helical elements and three loops (D, anti-codon, and T loops).
Source: RNAcentral